RNAcentral lists this ribosomal RNA (1997 nucleotides) under Candidatus Roizmanbacteria bacterium CG_4_10_14_0_8_um_filter_39_9. Its description in RNAcentral is "bacterial LSU rRNA". It matches the Rfam family "Bacterial large subunit ribosomal RNA", at positions 23 to 1993 of the family's 2925-position model. Lineage: Bacteria; Candidatus Roizmaniibacteriota. The record is from RNAcentral.
GGUGGAUGCCUUGGCAGUUUGAACCGAAGAAAGACGUGUGUAUGAGCACGAUAUCAACGAUAAGUCCUCCAACAGACAUUAUCAAUCGUUGGUCUCUGAAUGGGGCAACCUAUCCCGAUGUAAGUCGGGAUUAUCCGCCGCAAGGUGAGAUAGGGAACCUAGUGAACUGAAACAUCUAAGUAACUAGAGGAAGAGAAAUCAUAUGAGAUUCCGUCAGUAGCGGCGAGCGAACGCGGAUCAGUCUAAACCCGAAUUUAUUCGGGGGUUGCAGGGCCACUGUAGGGAUAUAUAAUUCGUAGAAGAACGGCAUGGAACGGCCGGCCAUAGAGAGUGACAGCCUCGUAUUCGAAAUGAAUUAUAUCCUGGUGGAUUCCCUAAGUACCACGAGGCACGGCAAACCUUGUGGGAAUCUGGGUCGGUCACGAUCCAAGACUAAAUAUUCAAACUGACCGAUAGUGAACUAGUACCGUGAGGGAAAGGUGAAAAGUCCCCCGAAAGGGGCGUGAAAUAGAUACUGAAACCAUUAGCUAACAAACAGACAGAGCCUCGUAAGGGGUGAUGUCGUGCCUAUUGAAGAAUGAGUCAGCGAGUUAUCGGUGUCUGCUUAGUGCUUAAGUCUGAAUUGUUAGACGGAGGCAGAGCGAAAGCGAGUCCUAAUAGGGCGACCAAUUGUAGACACCGGUUAACCCGAAACUUGGUGAGCUAACCAUGAGCAGGGUGAAGUUUGUCGAAAGACAGAUGGAGGCCCGAACUCGUCGUCGGUGAAAUGGCGUGAGAUGACUUGUGGUUAGGGGUAAUAUGCCUAUCGAACCAAGAGAUAGCUGGUUCUCCCCGAGAUAUAUUUAGGUAUAGCCUAUUCAACUACUUCGUGAGGUAGAGCGACUGGAUAGUUUUCGGGGCCGCAAGGCUACGUGAAUUAACCAAACUCCUAAUGCGCGAAGAUUAUUGAAUAGAGUCAGUCCCACUCGGAUAAGCGAGCGUGGGCGAGAGGGAAACAUCCCAGAUUCUCGACUAAGGUUCCUAAAUUACUUUUAAGUGGGAAAGGCCGUUUGUUUUCCAACACAGCAGGGAGGUUGGCUCAGAAGCAGCCAUCCUUUAAAGAGUGCGUAACAGCUCACCUGAAUAGUUCCCGGUUUACCGGGAUUGGAAGACAUGCGCCUAAAAUUAUUCGGAUCUCAAAAAGUAUACCGAAGUCGGAAAUGAGUUCACGAUUUAUCGUGAUCUCGUGGUAGGGGAGCAUUCUUGUUGCAGUGAAGCAUUGGUGUAAACCGGUGUGGAGCGGCAAGAAGUGAGAAUGCUGACAUAAGUAGUGUUUUCUCCCGAUGAAAAUUCGGGAUGCCGAAUGUUCAAGGUUUCCUCAGCAACGUCAAUCGACUGAGGGUUAGUCGGAUCUAAGCGUUCGCCGAAUCAGGCGAUCGCGAUGUACAAGCAGUUAAUAUUCUGUUACUAUCCAUUAACGUUAUCACUUACAUCAUGACGAAGUAUGAAUCCUAGUGCCUUCUAUAUGGGGGUUUAAACUGUUAAGGUUUGACGCAAGUUAAAUUCCAAGCAGUGAUGUCGAGUUUGCCGCAAGGCGAGCAAGUCUAAAGAUUUAUGUUUCCGGGAAAAAUGGUGUAGGGAGUUUUAUGGGUAUCCGUACCGACAACCAACACAGGUGAACAGGUAGAGUAUACCACGGCAUUCGAGUAAUAACGAUUCAAGGAACUCUGCAUAAAAAGCUGAGCGUAAGCUAUGCAAGAUGCUCUGCCCGUCGCAAGACGGGUUUCAACAAAAGAUUAUCAGGCAACUGUUUAACUAAAACACAGGUUCCUGCUAACCCUAAAAGGGGAUGUAUAGGAGCUGAUGCCUGUCCAGUACUGGUAAGUUAAUCAUUGGGACUGACGUGGAGCGAGCAAUCUCUCCAAACAGGUUCCGGUGCAAGCUCCAGUGAACGACAGCUCUAACCCUGAGAGUUCUAAGGUAGCGUAACCCCUUGUCGGGUAAGUUCCGACCCGCAU